UUCUUCGGCUAGAAUGAAUUUCUGGAGAAAGGAGUUGUUAAGAUGAUUUUACUGAACUCCCAAUAUGCCUUGUUUCCAUUCAGUGUUAUUUCUGAACUAAGUACCCCCUAUGUUGCUACAUAAUUGUCAUAAACAUCUUUCGUGGGCUGGGUGUGGUGAUUCAUGCCUGUAAUCCCAGCACUUUGGGAGGCUGAGGCGGGCAGAUAACUAGUUGAGGAGAUCGAGACCAUCCUGGCUAACACAAUGAAGCCUGUCUCUACUAAAAAUACAAACAAUUAGCCGGGCGUGGUGGCAUGCGCCUGUAGUCCCAGCUACUCGGGAGGCUGAGGUAGGAGAAUUGCUUGAACCUGGGAGGCAGAGGUUGCAGUGAGCCGAGAUGGCACCACUGCACUCAAGCCUGCGCGACACUGGAGCGAGACUCUGUCUCAAUAAAACAAAAAGAAAAGAAAAAAAACAAAAACGAAAACACACAUCUUUAGUGGCAGUAUUCUGUCAAAUGUCCAUAACAUAGUUUACUUACCUCUUCUGAGUCUGUUUCCAUUCAACUUGUGUUUGUUAAAUUAAAAAAAAAAAAUAGUGUGUAUAGAUCUCUCCACCACACUGUUUAGUCUCUUUAUACAUAUUUACUUAGUCUCCGUACUUCUAAAAUUUCUGCACCUCUCCAUUGUACUUUAUUUUCUGUUUUCCCUUUCACCCCAGGCCCAAUAAAGAGAGAUCAGCUCACUUGAGAUGGCUGCAGGAGAAAUAGGGAUGGUGGUACCAUGGGGAGGGCUCAUGUGAUGGUUCUUAUCUCAGGCAGUACCACAUUUGACAAUACUGAAGCCAGGUGCAGUGGCUUUUGAUUGUAAUUCCAACACUUUGCAAGGCCAAGGCGGGAGGAUCACUUGAGCCUGGGAGUUCGAGACCAGCCUGAGCUACAUAGUGAGACCCUGCCUCUACAACAAGAACAGCCAAAAGUAGCUGUGUAUCAUGGUGCAUGUGUGUAGUCCGAGCUACCUGGGAGGCUGAGGUAGUAUUGCUUUAGUCUGGGGAGUCCAGGCUGCUGUGAGCCAUCAUCUCGCCACUCAACUCCAGUGACAGAGUGAAACACUGUCUCAAAAAAAAAAAUAUUGGCAUGGUAGAGUGGUGGGAGUCGGAUUGUGGUAGUGAGUGUCCCACACAAUGAGGAGUUCUCCCUCAAAUGCCAUGAGUGCCUCCUGUUGAGAACCAUUGAGAAGGUGUGAAAUUUUCAGAGGAAGUUAAAGAGAUGGAGGAUUUCACAGAUGCUAACCGUGAGUUCCAAGGUAUACAAAAGAAGAAUUUGAGGAAUUAAGAGAUUAGGGUAUAAAAAGCUGUGUGAGGGUGUAGAAUGCUCUGGAUAUUGAACACCUGAGUGGGAGUCUUUGGCUUCUUGUGGUGACUUUGUGAACAAGGAUAAUUAGCAGGAUGGGGAUUGGUCUGGAUGGUCUUUGAGGCACAUUAUGAUGAUGAAGAUGUGAGUGUUGGGGGAGAACUGGGGUGGGAGCUUACUAAGAACUCACAGAAAUAAAGACUUCGUCUUCAUUCUUACAAAUGAACACAGCUCCAUGUCUCUCAGCAUUCCUCCUCCCUCUGUCCACCAUUGCUCUCCUUCUUUCCUCAUGAGCCUUCUUCUUUCCCUACAUGCUCCUCUUCCUCGCUUUCAUCGUCCUGUCUCAUCCCUCCUCCAUCUCCUCAUCUUUCUGCUCUACCUUCCUCUCCCUUUCUGUCUUCUCUUCUUCCUUCCUUCAUCUGUCUGUCUGUAUGUUUCUCUGCAUAACAAUCCACUAUAUAUAUUUUUUUGGGUCUACCAUGUUUCACACAUUUUACCAGAUUCUUUUACAUUGUCCUUUUUUGCUUUUAGCUAAUUUGCAAUACAGAUUAUUCUAUUUAUUUUAUUUAUUUAUUUUUGAGACGGAGUCUCGUUCUGUCACCCAGGCUGGAGUGCAGUGGCGCAAUUUUGGCUCACUGCAACCUCCACCUCCCGGGUUGAAGCGAUUCUCCUGCCUCAGCCUUCCGAGUAGCUGGGAUUACAGGCACGUGCCACCACGCCCGGCUAAUUUUUGUAUUUUUAAUAGAGACGGGGUUUCACCGUAUUAGCCAGGAUGGUCUCAAUCUCCUGACCUCGUGAUUCGCCCACCUCAGCCUCCCAAAGUGCUGGGAUUAUAGGCUUGAGCCGCUGUACCCGGCCGCAAUACAGAUUAUUAACCAUCAUUUUCUGAUCAGUUGGCAGAGCCAUGGAACUACAGAAGGCGCGCCACCCUAAGCACUUAUCCACACCCUCAUCUGUGAGUCCUGAACCUCAGGACUCUGCCAAGUUGCGCCAGAGUGGGUUAGCAAACGAAGGAACAGACGCUGGAUACCUGCCUGCCAAUUCCAUGUCUUCUGUAGCUUCAGGGGCCUCUUUUUCCCAGGAAGGAGGGAAAGAGAAUGAUACAGGAUCAAAGCAAGUUGGAGAAACACCAGCACCUGGAGACACCUUAGAUGGCACACCUCGUACUCUCAAUACUGUCUUUGAUUUCCCACCACCUCCAUUAGACCAAGUGCAGGAGGAGGAAUGUGAAGUAGAAAGGGUGACUGAACAUGGGACACCAAAGCCCUUUCGAAAGUUUGACAGUGUAGCUUUUGGAGAAAGUCAAAGUGAGGAUGAACAAUUUGAAAAUGACUUAGAGACAGAUCCACCCAACUGGCAGCAGCUUGUUAGUCGAGAAGUGUUACUGGGACUAAAACCUUGUGAGAUCAAAAGACAGGAAGUGAUUAAUGAAUUGUUCUACACUGAAAGAG
RNAcentral lists this small RNA (2781 nucleotides) under Pongo abelii (Sumatran orangutan). Its description in RNAcentral is "retained intron". Lineage: Eukaryota; Metazoa; Chordata; Mammalia; Primates; Hominidae. The record is from RNAcentral.